RNAcentral lists this ribosomal RNA (402 nucleotides) under Gialaia sp. Mau. Its description in RNAcentral is "partial 12S ribosomal RNA". Lineage: Eukaryota; Metazoa; Arthropoda; Insecta; Orthoptera; Gryllidae. The record is from RNAcentral.
UAUUAUUUAAUAUGUAAAGAAAAUUUGAUUAUCUGAGUAGUAAUAGUUAAGGUCUUGAAACUCAAAGAAUUUGGCGGUAUUUUAGUCCUUUCAGAGGAAUCUGUUCUAUAAUUGAUAAUACACGAUUUAUAUUACUUGAUCUUGUUAUCAGCUUAUAUACCGCCGUCGUAAGAUUAUCUUGUGGAGAGUGAAAAAUUUCAUUGUUUGUGAUUAUAUUUUAUGUCAGGUCAAGGUGUAGCUAAUGGUUAAGAAGUAAUGGAUUACAAUGAAUUUAUUUAUAUGGAUAGAUAUAUUGAAAAUGGUUUUUGAAGGUGGAUUUGAUUGUAAAUUAAUUUAUAUUGAUUUUUUGAUUUUGGCUCUAAUAUGUGCACACAUCGCCCGUCGCUCUCGUUAUAAGAUGAG